Molecule: ribosomal RNA, 458 nt
Filed under: uncultured bacterium
Lineage: Bacteria
Description: bacterial SSU rRNA
Rfam family: Bacterial small subunit ribosomal RNA
Source: RNAcentral
GACGAACGCUGGCGGCGUGCUUAACACGUGCAAGUCGAACGGUGACGGAGAGCUUGCUCUCCUGAUCAGUGGCGAACGGGUGAGUAACACGUGGGCAACCUGCCCCAGACUUCGGGAUAACGCUUCGAAAGAGGUGCUAAUACCGAAUACGAACGCCGUGGGCAUCCACGGUGUUGGAAAGUUUUUCGGUCUGGGAUGGGCCCGCGGCCUAUCAGCUUGUUGGUGAGGUAAUGGCUCACCAAGGCGACGACGGGUAGCCGGCCUGAGAGGGCGACCGGCCACACUGGGACUGAGACACGGCCCAGACUCCUACGGGAGGCAGCAGUGGGGAAUAUUGCGCAAUGGGCGAAAGCCUGACGCAGCAACGCCGCGUGGGGGAUGAAGGCCUGGUUGUAACGUACUUUCUAGCAGGAAGGAAGACGAAAGUAGACGGUACCGUAGCGAGAAGAAGACACCGG